UACGUAGGGUGCAAGCGUUGUCCGGAAUCAUUGGGCGUAAAGCGCGCGUAGGCGGUCAGGUAAGUCCGGUGUGAAAGUCAAAGGCUCAACCUUUGAAUGCCGCUGGAUACCGCCUGACUUGAGUCCGGAAGGGGCGAGUGGAAUUCCUGGUGUAGCGGUGAAAUGCGCAGAUAUCAGGAGGAACACCAAUGGCGAAGGCAGCUCGCUGGAACGGUACUGACGCUGAGGCGCGAAAGCGUGGGGAGCAAACAGG
Molecule: ribosomal RNA, 253 nt
Filed under: uncultured bacterium
Lineage: Bacteria
Description: partial 16S ribosomal RNA
Rfam family: Bacterial small subunit ribosomal RNA
Source: RNAcentral